UGUCCCAUGUUCAGCUCAUUCUCUCAAAAUUAAAAAGAAAUAGAAAGAAAGAAAGAAAAAGAUGGAGAAGAUGAGAGAAAGGGGAAAAUGGAGCAUUCAACUUCAAAUCGAGCUACGGAGCUCGUUUCUCGACCAAAUUUGAUGAUUUCGGUGGCUAUGGAUUCGGGAUUCAAGCCUUUACUCAAGAUUCGACGAGGCGACUAUCGACGGAGUUCAAAGUUCUUGAAUCGAGAUUAACGCUUUGCUUGAUUAGAGUAAAUGGAUAGCAAGUGGGAUGGUAUGAUAUGAUUUGAAGAGUUAAGCUUCCGAAGUUUUAAUUCUCGGAAGUCAUUUGUAUAAGAAGAAAAAGAAGG
Mercurialis annua (annual mercury) is the source of this 353-nucleotide long non-coding RNA. RefSeq lists it as uncharacterized. The record is from RefSeq and is a predicted model, not a curated record. The transcript has 3 exons. Lineage: Eukaryota; Viridiplantae; Streptophyta; Magnoliopsida; Malpighiales; Euphorbiaceae.